GUAGUCUGCAACUCGACUACAUGAAGCUGGAAUCGCUAGUAAUCGCGAAUCAGCAUGUCGCGGUGAAUACGUUCCCGGGUCUUGUACACACCGCCCGUCACACCAAGGGAGUCGGAAAUGCCCGAAGCCAGUGACCCAACCAUAAGGAGGGAGCUGUCGAAGGUGGAGCCGGUGACUGGGGUGAAGUCGUAACAAGGUACC
This 201-nucleotide ribosomal RNA is filed under the name uncultured bacterium. RNAcentral's name for it is "partial 16S ribosomal RNA". It matches the Rfam family "Bacterial small subunit ribosomal RNA", at positions 1300 to 1500 of the family's 1533-position model. The record is from RNAcentral.